Molecule: long non-coding RNA, 204 nt
Filed under: Sorghum bicolor (sorghum)
Lineage: Eukaryota; Viridiplantae; Streptophyta; Magnoliopsida; Poales; Poaceae
Description: long non-coding RNA (SBIC_LNC002061)
Source: RNAcentral
ACAGUCUAGCACCACCAACACCACCAAGCGGCAAGAGCGGAGAGCGCGUGACACUAACAGCAACAGCGGGAGGGGGAAGCGAGAGCUAGGGAUAACCCACACCCACUACCACCAUGGCGUGUGUGUGUGUGUGUGUGUGUGUGUGUGUGGUGUUUCCAAAAAUAGAAGGCAAACUAACCUGUGAAUCAUGUUGGUUAAAGCCAC